RNAcentral lists this ribosomal RNA (432 nucleotides) under uncultured Acidobacterium sp. Its description in RNAcentral is "bacterial SSU rRNA". It matches the Rfam family "Bacterial small subunit ribosomal RNA", at positions 958 to 1385 of the family's 1533-position model. Lineage: Bacteria; Pseudomonadati; Acidobacteriota; Terriglobia; Terriglobales; Acidobacteriaceae. The record is from RNAcentral.
AACGCGAAGAACCUUACCUGGGCUCGAACGGCUUAAGAACAUCUUUGGAAACAGAGACUUCCCGCAAGGGACUUGAGUCGAGGUGCUGCAUGGCUGUCGUCAGCUCGUGUCGUGAGAUGUUGGGUUAAGUCCCGCAACGAGCGCAACCCUUGUCCUGUGUUGCCACUCCCCUUAAAAGGAAGCACUCGCAGGAGACCGCCAGCGAUAAGUUGGAGGAAGGUGGGGAUGAUGUCAAGUCAUCAUGGCCUUUAUGUCCAGGGCUACACACGUGCUACAAUGGACGGUACAAAGCGCUGCAAACCCGCGAGGGGGAGCUAAUCGCAAAAAACCGUUCUCAGUUCGGAUCGCAGGCUGCAACUCGCCUGCGUGAAGCUGGAAUCGCUAGUAAUGCCGUAUCAGAACGAUGGCGUGAAUACGUUCCCGGGCCUUGUA